AUUGAACGCUGGCGGCAGGCCUAACACAUGCAAGUCGAGCGGAUGCGGGGAGCUUGCUCCUGGAUUCAGCGGCGGACGGGUGAGUAAUGCCUAGGAAUCUGCCUGGUAGUGGGGGAUAACGUCCGGAAACGGGCGCUAAUACCGCAUACGUCCUGCGGGAGAAAGUGGGGGAUCUUCGGACCUCACGCUAUCAGAUGAGCCUAGGUCGGAUUAGCUAGUUGGUGGGGUAAAGGCCUACCAAGGCGACGAUCCGUAACUGGUCUGAGAGGAUGAUCAGUCACACUGGAACUGAGACACGGUCCAGACUCCUACGGGAGGCAGCAGUGGGGAAUAUUGGACAAUGGGCGAAAGCCUGAUCCAGCCAUGCCGCGUGUGUGAAGAAGGUCUUCGGAUUGUAAAGCACUUUAAGUUGGGAGGAAGGGUAGUAAGUUAAUACCUUGCUGUUUUGACGUUACCAACAGAAUAAGCACCGGCUAACUUCGUG
This 484-nucleotide ribosomal RNA is filed under the name uncultured bacterium. RNAcentral's name for it is "partial 16S ribosomal RNA". It matches the Rfam family "Bacterial small subunit ribosomal RNA", at positions 30 to 507 of the family's 1533-position model. The record is from RNAcentral.